RNAcentral lists this ribosomal RNA (319 nucleotides) under uncultured Pseudomonadota bacterium. RNAcentral describes it as "bacterial SSU rRNA". It matches the Rfam family "Bacterial small subunit ribosomal RNA", at positions 30 to 351 of the family's 1533-position model. The record is from RNAcentral. Lineage: Bacteria; Pseudomonadati; Pseudomonadota.
AUUGAACGCUGGCGGCAUGCCUAACACAUGCAAGUCGAACGGGCUUUGUGAGCAAUCAUGGAGCUAGUGGCGGACGGGUGAGUAAUGCGCAGGGAUCUGCCUUAAAGAGUGGGACAACUCGGGGAAACUCGGGCUAAUACCGCAUAAUGUCUGAGGACCAAAGCUGGGGACCGCAAGGCCUGGCGCUUUAAGAGGAACCUGCGUCCGAUUAGCUAGUUGGUAGGGUAAAGGCCUACCAAGGCGACGAUCGGUAGCUGGUCUGAGAGGAUGACCAGCCACACUGGGACUGAGACACGGCCCAGACUCCUACGGGAGGCAG